CCAAUAGCGUAUAUUAAAGUUGUUGCAGUUAAAAAGCUCGUAGUUGAAUUUCGGGAUCAAUAUAUUGGUCGUGCCUUUGGUAUGCACUGGUAUCAUUGAUUUCUACCUUCUGAUGAACUAUGAUGUCAUUAAUUUGGUGUCAUGGGGAAUCAGGACUGUUACUUUGAAAAAAUUAGAGUGUUUAAAGCAGGCACACGCUUGAAUACAUUAGCAUGGAAUAAUGAAAUAGGACGUUUGACCCUAUUUUGUUGGUUUCUAGGAUCGACGUAAUGAUUAAUAGGGAUAGUUGGGGGCAUUAGUAUUCAAUUGUCAGAGGUGAAAUUCUUGGAUUUAUUGAAGACUAACUACUGCGAAAGCAUUCGCCAAGGAUGUUUUCAUUAAUCAAGAACGAAAGUUAGGGGAUCGAAGACGAUCAGAUACCGUCGUAGUCUUAACCAUAAACUAUGCCGACUAGGGAUCGGAUGAUGUUAAUUUUAUAAUGACUCAUUCGGCGCCUUACG
Molecule: ribosomal RNA, 500 nt
Filed under: uncultured Glomeromycotina
Lineage: Eukaryota; Fungi; Glomeromycota
Description: partial small subunit ribosomal RNA
Rfam family: Eukaryotic small subunit ribosomal RNA
Source: RNAcentral